CAGUCGCCACGGUAAUACAGAGGGUGCGAGCGUUAAUCGGAUUUACUGGGCGUAAAGUGUGCGUAGGCGGCUUCUUAAGUCGGAUGUGAAAUCCCUGAGCUUAACUUAGGAAUUGCAUUCGAUACUGGGAAGCUAGAGUAUGGGAGAGGAUGGUAGAAUUCCAGGUGUAGCGGUGAAAUGCGUAGAGAUCUGGAGGAAUACCGAUGGCGAAGGCAGCCAUCUGGCCUAAUACUGACGCUGAGGUACGAAAGCAUGGGGAGCAAACAGGAUUAGAGACCCCUGUAGUCCCUGUCUCUUAUAA
RNAcentral lists this ribosomal RNA (301 nucleotides) under uncultured bacterium. Its description in RNAcentral is "partial 16S ribosomal RNA". It matches the Rfam family "Bacterial small subunit ribosomal RNA", at positions 509 to 809 of the family's 1533-position model. The record is from RNAcentral.